Molecule: ribosomal RNA, 468 nt
Filed under: uncultured bacterium
Lineage: Bacteria
Description: partial 16S ribosomal RNA
Rfam family: Bacterial small subunit ribosomal RNA
Source: RNAcentral
GACGAACGCUGGCGGCGUGCUUAACACAUGCAAGUCGAACGGAAAGGCCCUGCUUUUGUGGGGUGCUCGAGUGGCGAACGGGUGAGUAACACGUGAGUAACCUGCCCUUGACUUUGGGAUAACUUCAGGAAACUGGGGCUAAUACCGGAUAGGAGCUCCUGCUGCAUGGUGGGGGUUGGAAAGUUUCGGCGGUUGGGGAUGGACUCGCGGCUUAUCAGCUUGUUGGUGGGGUAGUGGCUUACCAAGGCUUUGACGGGUAGCCGGCCUGAGAGGGUGACCGGCCACAUUGGGACUGAGAUACAGCCCAGACUCCUACGGGAGGCAGCAGUGGGGAAUAUUGCACAAUGGGCGGAAGCCUGAUGCAGCAACUCCGCGUGCGGGAUGACGGCCUUCGGGUUGUAAACCGCUUUCGCCUGUGACGAAGCGUGAGUGACGGUAAUGGGUAAAGAAGCACCGGCUAACUACGUG